CCUACGGGAGGCAGCAGUGGGGAAUAUUGCACAAUGGGGGAAACCCUGAUGCAGCAACGCCGCGUGAGUGAUGACGGCCUUCGGGUUGUAAAGCUCUGUCUUCAGGGACGCUAAUGACGGUACCUGAGGAGGAAGCCACGGCUCACUACGUGCCAGCAGCCGCGGUCAGACGCCGGCGGCGAGCGUUGUCCGGAUUUUCUGGGCGUAAAGGGAGCGUAGGCGGGUUUUUAAGUGAGAUGUGAAAUCUUCGGGCUCAACUUGAGUGCUGCAUUGCAAACUGGAAGUCUAGAGUGCAGGAGAGGAGAAUGGAAGUCCUGGUGUAGCGGUGAAAUGCGUAGAGAUUAGGAAGAACACCAGUGGCGAAGGCGAUUCUCUGGACUGUAACUGACGCUGAGGCUCGAAAGCGUGGGGAGCAAACAGGAUUAGAUACCCCAGUAGUC
RNAcentral lists this ribosomal RNA (440 nucleotides) under uncultured bacterium. RNAcentral describes it as "partial 16S ribosomal RNA". It matches the Rfam family "Bacterial small subunit ribosomal RNA", at positions 338 to 795 of the family's 1533-position model. The record is from RNAcentral.